RNAcentral lists this ribosomal RNA (468 nucleotides) under uncultured bacterium. Its description in RNAcentral is "partial 16S ribosomal RNA". It matches the Rfam family "Bacterial small subunit ribosomal RNA", at positions 28 to 507 of the family's 1533-position model. The record is from RNAcentral.
GACGAACGCUGGCGGCGUGCUUAACACAUGCAAGUCGAACGGAAACGCCCUGCUUUUGUGGGGUGCCCGAGUGGCGAACGGGUGAGUAACACGUGAGUAACCUGCCCUUGACUUUGGUAUAACUUCAGGAAACUGGGGCUAAUACCGGAUAGGAGCUCCUGCUGCAUGGUGGGGGUUGGAACGUUUCGGCGGUUGGGGAUGGACUCGCGGCUUAUCAGCUUGUUGGUGGGGUAGUGGCUUACCAAGGCUUUGACGGGUAGCCGGCCUGAGAGGGUGGCCGGCCACAUUGGGACUGAGAGACGGCCCAGACUCCUACGGGAGGCAGCGGUGGGGAGUAUUGCACAAUGGGAGGGAGCCUGAUGCAGCGGCGCCGCGUGCGGGAUGACGGCCUUCGGGUUGUGAACCGCUGUCGCCUGUGACGAAGCGUGAGUGACGGUAAUGGGUAAAGAAGCACCGGCUAACUACGUG